This 279-nucleotide unclassified non-coding RNA is filed under the name plant metagenome. RNAcentral's name for it is "partial contains small subunit ribosomal RNA, internal transcribed spacer 1, and 5.8S ribosomal RNA". The record is from RNAcentral.
UCUCCGUUGGUGAACCAGCGGAGGGAUCAUUACAGAGUUCCACAACUCCCAACCCCUGCGAACCGACCCCCAGUUUGUUCUCGUUGCCUCCUCGCGCCGCGCCCCCGGCGCCCCCGCCGGGACCCCCCCCACCGGCGCCGAGCCCCCUCAACCUUUUUUUCUCACCCAGCCCACCUGAGCAAACAAACACAUGAAUCAAAACUUUAAACAACGGAUCUCUCAGUUCUGGCAUCCAUGAAAAACGCAGCAAAACCGAAGAUCACACCUCUGAACUCCAGU